Molecule: ribosomal RNA, 252 nt
Filed under: uncultured prokaryote
Description: partial 16S rRNA
Rfam family: Archaeal small subunit ribosomal RNA
Source: RNAcentral
ACCGGCAGCUCAAGUGGUGGCCAUUAUUAUUGGGCCUAAAGCGUUCGUAGCCGGUUUGAUAAGUCUCUGGUGAAAUCCCGCAGCUUAACUGUGGGACUUGCUGGAGAUACUAUCAGACUUGAGGUCGGGAGAGGUUAGGGGUACUCCCAGGGUAGCGGUGAAAUGCUAAGAUACUGGGAGGACCACCAGAGGCGAAGGCGGCUCUCUAAAACAAUCCUGACGCUGAGUCUCGAAAGCCAGGGGAGCAAACGG